GAUGAACGCUGGCGGCGUGCCUAAUACAUGCAAGUCGAGCGAACAGACGAUGAGCUUGCUCCUCUGACGUUAGCGGCGGACGGGUGAGUAACACGUGGAUAACCUGCCUAUAAGACUGGGAUAACUUCGGGAAACCGGAGCUAAUACCGGAUAAUAUAUUGAACCGCAUGGUUCAAUAGUGAAAGACGGUUUUGCUGUCACUUAUAGAUGGAUCCGCGCCGCAUUAGCUAGUUGGUAAGGUAACGGCUUACCAAGGCAACGAUGCGUAGCCGACCUGAGAGGGUGAUCGGCCACACUGGAACUGAGACACGGUCCAGACUCCUACGGGAGGCAGCAGUAGGGAAUCUUCCGCAAUGGGCGAAAGCUUGACGGAGCAACGCCGCGUGAGUGAUGAAGGUCUUCGGAUCGUAAAACUCUGUUAUUAGGGAAGAACAAAUGUGUAAGUAACUAUGCACGUCUUGACGGUACCUAAUCAGAAAGCCACGGCUAACUACGUG
Molecule: ribosomal RNA, 497 nt
Filed under: uncultured bacterium
Lineage: Bacteria
Description: partial 16S ribosomal RNA
Rfam family: Bacterial small subunit ribosomal RNA
Source: RNAcentral